UGCUUUUCGAGCUCGUCCUUGUUACUUGGAGUGAAUCUUUCUAUGGAUGCUCUUUUCGUUUCGCCUUUGAUAAAGCUUCGUUUAUUUUGAUUCUUUUCUAUCUGAAAAUGUAUCUGAAAUAAUCCUUGUACUCUGAAAAGUUAAGCUAAUGGAGAAAAGUGUUUCAGUUACUUGUACUCUAACACUCUCCAUCGAGAGUAAAUAAGUAAAUUAAAUAAGAUAGGAGAUCACGCCAUUACUUGUUGUAUUCGGCUUUGCUAGAGUUUCUAUUUAGAGAUCGACAAAUUAUCAUUACUUAAUUCAUGCAGGGGAACUGCAAUGGCAACUUGGUAAAGUAGCUCUGAAAAUGCUAGUAUAUUUUGUCACUUAUCUUUUUUUUUUUUUAACUUAGCGAAUGCGUCUGUUAUCUAGUUUGAUUAUGCUGCAUUGAGAUUUCUACAAUUAGCUUGAGAAAUUAAAGAUGGUGAUCAUGGUCAAACGGGGUUUUCUCAAAAUUGACUGAGCAGAGGUUCACUAGUGAGUUUGAGGUGAGAGAAAUCAUUGGCAGCAGAUUGCCAGAUGAUCAAUUUAGGAAGAAUCUCAGAAGAGUUUGGUCCUAGGGGAUCGAAGAUUUAUAAUAUGCAACAAGUUUAGAGGAGAAGUGUGAAAGAUAGUGCCCUCACUUUACCUGCGUUACAUACUAAUUUGUCCUUUACUAGCAAAGAACAAAAUUUUAGCUUCUGUUCACGCUUAAAAACUGCAUCAAACUAUUUUCUUUUCUUUUCAACUCUCCCUUGUAUGACUUGUAAAAGCAGUUAUUUGAUAAUAAAUUUUGUUGAUGUGUGGGGCA
This is a long non-coding RNA of Ananas comosus (pineapple), 829 nucleotides long. RefSeq lists it as uncharacterized. The transcript is spliced from 2 exons. Lineage: Eukaryota; Viridiplantae; Streptophyta; Magnoliopsida; Poales; Bromeliaceae. The record is from RefSeq and is a predicted model, not a curated record.